UGGGGAAUAUUGGGCAAUGGGGGGAACCCUGACCCAGCAACGCCGCGUGAAGGAAGAAGGUUUUCGGAUUGUAAACUUCUGUCCUUGGUGAAGAGGAAGAGACGGUAGCCAAGGAGGAAGCCCCGGCUAACUACGUGCCAGCAGCCGCGGUAAUACGUAGGGGGCGAGCGUUGUCCGGAAUGAUUGGGCGUAAAGGGCGCGUAGGCGGCCUGUUAAGUCUGGAGUGAAAUUCCUGCUUUCAAGGUAGGAAGUGCUUUGGAAACUGGCGGGCUGGAGUGCAGGAGAGGUUAGCGGAAUUCCCGGUGUAGCGGUGAAAUGCGUAGAGAUCGGGAGGAACACCAGUGGCGAAGGCGGCUAACUGGACUGUAACUGACGCUGAAGCGCGAAAGUGUGGGGAGCAAACAGG
Molecule: ribosomal RNA, 406 nt
Filed under: uncultured prokaryote
Also listed under: 1 other name
Description: bacterial SSU rRNA
Rfam family: Bacterial small subunit ribosomal RNA
Source: RNAcentral